Galleria mellonella (greater wax moth) is the source of this 5771-nucleotide RNA transcript. RefSeq lists it as uncharacterized. The record is from RefSeq and is a predicted model, not a curated record. The transcript has 22 exons. NCBI's taxonomy places the organism in Eukaryota, Metazoa, Arthropoda, Insecta, Lepidoptera, Pyralidae.
GAGCGAUAGACGAUCGCGCGCGCACGCCACUCCUGCGCACCUCCACGAGUGUUUUGUGUCGAAACUGAACAAACGAGCUAAAGUUAUCUGUGACUGUGUAUGUGUUUAAUUGUUCUAGUGUAUUAGCUGAUUGGAGAUCCAGCCAGGUAUUCUUGUUGACCUGGUUCGUCUCGGCAUAGAAGCUGGACAUACAACAGUGAAAUUCGUACGUUGCGAUCGAUUUACCAACGUAUUGUAUUAGCCAAACGCACGUGACCACCGGACACUUUUACAAGAGAUGAGGUGGCAGAUAUAGCGAGGUCGGGAUGGGCCAGGCGGGCAGCCAGCCGGCCGGCGCGGCGCCGCAACGCGCCCGCCGCGCGCACACCCUGCCCCACGAACCACCGCGCCUUGCGCCCAAGGUCCUUCCGUCGCUUCCGGAUUCGCCACAUCUGCGCAGUACCGACAACGGCGCCAUCCUGCACUCAGGGGGCACCAUUAGUGGACGGAGGCCCACCUCCAUCCUACAUGAACCUAGAGUCCCCCAUGGACAUGUGCAUUCCAACGCGUUUCGGUCUCGUUCGGCGGGUGGCGGUGUCGAAACUGGUGACCUUCGAUCCAGGGAGAGAGACCCUUUGCAUAGGUCACACACAAACCUCGACCUUAGGCAUCAUGAUGGCAGUAAUUUAAAUAAGAAAUUUGGAUCCGAGCCUGAUCUUAGAUUAGAAGAAGAACAACAUAAACCAAAAUGUACCAAUAAACAUUUUCGUAAGAAAUAUCGAGCACCCCCACCUCCAACGCAUGAUAAUUUCGAGGGUUCAUCACCGGAUUCGAGUGAAAGAAAUGCUAAAACGGAACCACAACGAAAACUGCGGCUUUUUAAAACAAGAAAUGAAACGAAAAAGAUGAAUGGCCUUGUAGAUAAUAACAAAAUGUACAGAAACACAAACAAUGGCUACAGAUCUCUAGAUUUGAAUGAAAAUCAAGCUUUUGAGAGAAGAUAUAGAUCACCUUGUAAAGAUAAAGAACAGCAUCUUAAAUAUCCAGACAGCCAAGAUAUGGUACAAAGUACAUCGUCAUUAAAAAGAGAAGAGCGCUUGCUACAACUGAGACAAGACUACAAAAAGGCUAGAACUGAUAAAGUCAGUGGAUGUAGAGCGAAAACAUCAAAGACAAUGGAACAAGGGGAAGCAUGGAAAACCCCCUUACUUAAUAGGAAUUUUAGGUAUUCAGAAAGGUUUAAAAAAGACGAUAGCGAACAACCAACCUUAAGAAGAGAAAAAACUUUCGACAGCACUUUGCCAUCAAGUGAAAAAGAUUGUGAAUCUCCAAAAAUUUCACAUGAAAGUAAGAUAAAAGCUAUAGGCGACCAGCUGAGAGGAAAUCGGCUGACACCUUUAGCAGAAACCAAUAAGCCUUUGAGAAAAUCUCUUCCAUCACUAUUGCCCAAAAGUAGUGACGAAAAAGAUGAAUUUCAAGCGGAGCUCAAAAAGGCUACAAGUAGAAUAAGAAACGAGUUAGGCAAUAAAAUUAAUAUUAGUGAAAACAGAACUAGUCAGAGCGAUAGAACGAACACACAGAAACCAAACCCAACGAAAUCAACAAUACAGAACAAAGUCAAAGAGUCUAGUCUUAAAACGAACAUUUCUAACAGGAAAGAAACAAAAACAGCGAUUACUAGAAGACCUUUGGUCCGAUCAAAUGAUACCAAAUUUAAAGUGACAAAUGCACAAAAUAAUGUAAAUGUAAAAAAUAACGCAGUAGUCAAUAAAUAUAAGUUCAAUAGUAAAGAGAGUGGAAAACCGUUGCCUGAUCGAGGACAGGCGUCUGGCAAGGAAUCAACUCCUGAACACUCUCCUACUAGAAAUAAUGUACCACCGACUGAACUUUCACAAGAUAAGAAAAAGCCAGCACCAUCAAAGCAGUUCUACUUUGGUAUGAUUGAAAGUAAACAAGCUGAGCCUCGGGAACACUUGAAAGACUUCCCUGGACUCGGCAGCCCCAUUAUAGAAGAGUUCAGCAACUUCCACCUAAUCGAGAAAAAGCUAUUAGGAUAUCACGACGAGGAUGCUGAAUUAGAAAAGUUCAAUGCAAAACUAAAAGAAGACUGCAAAGUUAAAAACUUGUCAUCCGAAUCAGCUUUAUCAUCAGGAUCGGAAGGUGAAGGUUCAGAAGGAUCAUUAGGUAUAGCGCUGAGACUACGACCAACUUUGCCUAAAAAGCAGCUGGCUGUGCCACGGUUUUCACCAGCGGCUGCAUGGAAGCAACUGGCUUCAUUAGACGCACAUUUAGCUGCAGAAACACAGCCACUUGCCGUGGAAACAAAGGUGUCGCCCAAUGUAUCACCAGAAUCCUCGCCGCGAUCAGAUCAGUCGGCUGACAAAUCAGGUGAUUCCGGGAUAUCCGGGGACCAUGCAAACAGCGAUCAAAGGAUAGACUCCCCACGGCAUCACACACAAGAAUCGUCACCAGCGGCAUGGACGCCACAGCAAGAUCUCGGCGACAGCAGUUCCGAUGGGGCUGGUGGUACACGAGGUGUGCUACUUCCAGGCGGUGCUGUGACGUACAACCCGGGAGCACAGCCAUUCAGCCUGUCUCUGCCUAGAGAUGCACAUGACAGAUUUAAAGGGAUGUCGUGCUUCUACGAAUGCUUUCAGGGGAAACAGCUGCAGCAAAGUUUCAACAGUCUACAGAAACUGAGAAAGUCGGUCUCGGGGGCACUCGGUGCGGCUUUAGGAUCCAGGAGGUUCGAUCUGGAGCACGAGCCGAUGUUACAGGAACCUGAACAGAACUGGUUCCUGACGAAGUCAGCGCCGAACUCUUUGAGUAAUCCGCUGUUGUUCCAGCAGCCUGCCAGGACGAAGGUAUCUGCUGAGGAUAAUAUCAAAGAAGAGUCGGUGCCGCCCUCAGAGAAGGAUGAGACAGGUGCGUGGCGGCCCAGCAACUCGUACCUGUCGUGGGGUGGGCAUGUGAUGUACCUGCCCCCGGCUCCGGCCGCCCCUGACCAGCCGCUCUCCAUCCUCGGCCCACUCGAUAGGCCUGUCAGGAGUAAAUCCAGCGGCUGCCUGGAGGUGGCGGCGCGAGCGGCCCGCGCGGCGCUCGCGAGCGAGAUGCGCGAGCGCGAACGAUCCGCCUCGCCGGACGUGGCGCGCGCGCUGCCUGCCCGCGUCGAACCAACCACUCGCAACAACAACGGACAAAGCCGAGGCAAAAGGUUUACGUUCCAGUCGACGGUCAGGCAGUUGGAGAGGCGGCGCUUGGCGGAGAAGCUCUCGAGAGAGGCAGACUUCAAGGAACAGCAGAGAAGGACAGAACUGGAAGCUAUGAGGCGGGUGGAAGAGGAAUUCCAGCGUAAACGAGCGAGAGAGAAGGCUAAUAUUAGACAGCAACUACGGCUGGUAAGCAGCGGAGCGGCCAGCAUGCCCACCACUACCAACCACGUCAAGGCACGCGACGAGCCAGACGGUUCCUGCAGGGAGUCUACCGCUCCAGAACGAAACCGGGACGGCAGGCAGCGGCACAGCAACGCGUCCUCGGAGAUCAGCGGACGUAGCAAAAGCACCACACCUAUCCGGUGCGUGGAGCUAUCCGAGUGGCGGGACGGCAGCGGGUCGGCGCGCGUGUACCGCGACUGGGCGGCGACGCCCGCGCUGGCCGGCUCCGCGCCUGCGCACGCGCACCCACCCGCCUGCGCACGCAUGCCCAUGUCCACGCACGUCGUUUACAACGCCGCUGCGGAAGUGGAGGCAUUCAGUGGUAGCCCUCGCUCCGACAACUACCGGCUGGAGUUCGCAAGGGGACGCUCUCCGCGGACCCCGCGCCCCCCCAGGCUGGUGACCGCGGCCAGGACGCCUUCUACCUCAGGCUCGGAGCUCUCGCUGCGACAACCUAUCAAGAUCAGGUGGUGAUUACCGGUCGUAGAGCUAUCUAACCUUUAACCGCCUUACGCCUACCCAAUACGGGAGUCUACAAAAGAGGAACCGGAAGAGCCCGCUAUUGUCCCCACCCUCCGGCCCUCUGGACCGCGCCGAACAGUCGUCACUCACUAGUGGACCGCUAAACGGUGCGGACGUGUUCUGUCAAUAUAUUACUAAAAAUACGUAGCUCUGACUGGAAAUUAAUUUUAUAUCGAAAGAAUUUGUAGACCUCUUAUUUAUGUGUUAAAAAUAUUAUCGUAAUAUAUCAUUAUUAUUGUAUGUUUUAAUUUAUAAAUUUGGAAAUUAGCAUGGUUCUAAAGAUGCUCAGAUAGUUGAUCAGAUUAAUUCCAACAUUGACGUAUUAGAAAUAUUCGUUAUUUGAAUAUUUCAAUACGAGUGCAGGAAUUAACAAAAGAUGGAAUCAAUGAACGUAAUGUGUCACGUGAGAACUUUUUUGUGGGUCAUUCGAAUGACCCUAAUUCUGGAGUAAGUACCAAGUCUUACCUUUUAAAACAUAAUUACUUUUGUACGUAACUUUUCGGCAAUCUGUUAUGAAUUUAAAAAAAAUAUCGCGUCUGUAGCGCAGAUAUGAAUACUGUACAUUUUAAUUUCAUUUAUUGCGAUAUUACUCCGAAAAGUGCUUUAAUAUUUCUUGUAUAAAAUUGUACGUAUUUUAGGAUGUUAGAUAGGUAAAAUAUAUAAUAAAAAUUAAAGUUGAAUUUAGAAUUUAAUUAAUAAACACUAAUAAUGCUAUAUCUAUUGUCUUCCAUUGUAUAUGAAUACUGAAGCUUUAAUGUAGACUUUAGAAACUAAAGAUUGGUAAAAACAGGUGCUAAUAAUAUGAUUUUACAUGGGUGACUUAAUUCUAAAUAAUAUUUGAAAUGAAUGUAUUCAGAACUUCCAUUAAAAUAUAAUAUUCGUUAAUAGAAUUUAACAGUUUUUUUUUUUUAUCAAUAUUUAAAAAGUUAUUAACAAAAAAUAAUGAAAAUUAAUAUCAUUAAAAUCUGUUUUAAAAUAAUAUAAAAUGUAUUAUACCGUAAGUCUAUUAUUAUUUUUUUGUAUUCUAUAACUAAGCACGUAAUUUUAAUCAUAUCUUAAUACUCUCAACCAUGUACACAAUAAAGCAAGUAACGGGUAUAUAUUACGCACUUCUGAAUAGUGGAAUGAUGUUUUUGUUUUAAUGAAUUGAUAUUUACCGUCCCUUUUAUGAGCGCUAUAACCUUUCCCUCGUCAAUCAAUCAUAUCAAAGCGGGUAAACUCGCCCCCCGUCCGAUCUGCCCCCCGUUCGGAUAGGUGUGACCGAGGUGCGCCGCAGCAGGGUUAACAGCAAAGGCCACGCCACGUGUUGUUAUUUCUAUCUUCAUUAAUUGAAAUGUCUAGAAAAUAAAAUAAAGAUUUUUUAUUUAUAAUUACUAUUUCUAAAUUUCAUAUAAUUCACAAUAUUGUGUUAUAUAAACUUUCAUAUAAAAUAUUAAAUUUACAUAUUUUUUUUUAUAUAUAUUUUUUAUAUAUAUUAAUCAAUGUGAAAUUUUUAAUAUGUUGCUGUACGUAACAACUAAAGUGAAACUAUUUAAUAAUGCAAACAUAUAAAUUUAAAUAUUAACAAAUACUCUUGCAUUAUCCACAUAAAUGACUGAGAAUGAUGAGUUUAAGUAUCAAUAUAGGUCAUUCCAUGCUCAAUGUAAAAAAUAAUAUAUAUUUAUUUACAUAGUAAAUAUACAAGAUUGUACUGGUUUUGGUGCUAUUUAUAAAAGAAUCUAUUUACUAUAUUUGUUAAAUGUGUAUAUAUACAUUCAAAAUUAACUCAUUUCUUUUCAAAUAGUACAAUAUAUAAAUAUUAAUAAAAUAAAAAAAAAAAAUGUUGGAGACGACUAA